Manis javanica (Malayan pangolin) is the source of this 1017-nucleotide long non-coding RNA. RefSeq lists it as uncharacterized. NCBI's taxonomy places the organism in Eukaryota, Metazoa, Chordata, Mammalia, Pholidota, Manidae. The record is from RefSeq and is a predicted model, not a curated record.
UUCAGUCUCACUGAGCCCUCUUUAAUGGCUCAAUUUUGGAUUGAACAAGGUUCUUCUGCCUUUUUGUAGUCCUGGAGCGAUGAGAGUGAUUGCAGAAUUUCCAGGAUCAUGAGUCUUGCUUUCUGCAACCCCAAAUGAUGAGAAAGUUAACCCAAACUGUCUUUGAGUUAACACAAAGGGUUCCAGCCAUCCUGGGCUCGUGGAUCCCUGGCUGCUCUGUGUCAUUCCUGCCUAAGUACUUUCCAUCCCGCAGGAGUCACCAGACACCCUGAUGCCCCCACUCACCUCGGCCAAGGAGGCAGGCAACAUUUCAGCUUCUUCAAGUCACCUUUUCCCCAGGACACCAUGCCUGAUGGGGUGGAUUUGGUUCUACUAGUAGGAAAUGCUGCCUAUCACUAAAAGUAAAGAUGCCAGCUUACCCAGGAUUAAUCUCAAAGGAGACUUUGGACUGUGAUAAUGGCUGGUCGGUCCCACCUUCUCUCAGAGGACAAGAAAGCGGUCUUGAAGGUGGAGGGCUGUCAUCCUACCCUACCCACCUCAAGAGGGAAAGGGCUGGGGGGCCACGUGUCUCCUGGUGGAGAGAGGGGCCCAUGAACUGGGAGGCCGAGAGGGAGGUCAGCACGCAGGGACGGCCCACGUUCCCGUCGCAUGUGUGGGAGGGGCGCUGCCGUGGGCUGCGUUACAGUUCCCAGCAUUUCAUCCCCCCGACUUCACGUCCUUUGCCCAGCGACACUGCUGUCCUUCCAUGAGAGGCGGAACAUGGUGCCCUUCUCCGUCAGUGUUGGCCCGGGUGUGCUGGGCUGGCAUUAGCCAGUGGAAUGUGAGUGGAAGCAACAGUGGCCCGGUUCUGAGCUGGGAGCUGGAGGGGCGCUGUGUGUUUCUGUUGCUCUGUUUGUGCUCUGCCCUCCCUGUGAGAAUAGUGCCCUGGGUAGCCUGCUUUCCCAGAAAACGUGAGAGACGUGGGAGCAAAACCCUGCAGGCCACCCCAUAGACCUGAAACCUGAAACCUGAAACCUG